Molecule: small nucleolar RNA, 76 nt
Filed under: Salix viminalis (osier)
Lineage: Eukaryota; Viridiplantae; Streptophyta; Magnoliopsida; Malpighiales; Salicaceae
Rfam family: Small nucleolar RNA U31b
Source: RNAcentral
GGAUAUGAUGAAGCAUAAUUGACACCCAGUCUUAUUUCCUAAUGGAAGCUGGUGAUAAUUUUUUUUUAUCUGAUCC